CAGUAGCCGCGGUAAUACAGAGGGUGCGAGCGUUAAUCGGAUUUACUGGGCGUAAAGCGUGCGUAGGCGGCUUUUUAAGUCGGAUGUGAAAUCCCUGAGCUUAACUUAGGAAUUGCAUUCGAUACUGGGAAGCUAGAGUAUGGGAGAGGAUGGUAGAAUUCCAGGUGUAGCGGUGAAAUGCGUAGAGAUCUGGAGGAAUACCGAUGGCGAAGGCAGCCAUCUGGCCUAAUACUGACGCUGAGGUACAAAAGCAUGGGGAGCAAACAGGAUUAGAUACCCCCGUAGUCCCUGUCUCUUAUAA
This 301-nucleotide ribosomal RNA is filed under the name uncultured bacterium. Its description in RNAcentral is "partial 16S ribosomal RNA". It matches the Rfam family "Bacterial small subunit ribosomal RNA", at positions 509 to 809 of the family's 1533-position model. The record is from RNAcentral.